AUUGAACGCUGGCGGCAGGCCUAACACAUGCAAGUCGAGCGGUUGAGAGUAGCUUGCUACUUGAUGCAGCGGCGGACGGGUGAGUAAUGCAUGGGAAUCUGCCUGGUAGUGGGGGACAACGUUUCGAAAGGAACGCUAAUACCGCAUACGCCCUACGGGGGAAAGGGGGGAGUCUUCGGACCUCUCGCUAUCAGAUGAGCCCAUGUCAGAUUAGCUAGUUGGGGGGGUAAAGGCCCACCAAGGCGACGAUCUGUAACUGGUCUGAGAGGAUGAUCAGUCACACUGGAACUGAGACACGGUCCAGACUCCUACGGGAGCAGCAGUGGGGAAUAUUGGACAAUGGGCGAAAGCCUGAUCCAGCCAUGCCGCGUGUGUGAAGAAGGCCUCGGUUGUAAGCGACUUCUAGUGGGAGAAGGGUUAAGUUACUACCUAAUACGUAGAGUAAAUUAGAUG
RNAcentral lists this ribosomal RNA (453 nucleotides) under uncultured bacterium. RNAcentral describes it as "bacterial SSU rRNA". It matches the Rfam family "Bacterial small subunit ribosomal RNA", at positions 30 to 493 of the family's 1533-position model. The record is from RNAcentral.